This 468-nucleotide ribosomal RNA is filed under the name uncultured bacterium. RNAcentral describes it as "partial 16S ribosomal RNA". It matches the Rfam family "Bacterial small subunit ribosomal RNA", at positions 28 to 507 of the family's 1533-position model. The record is from RNAcentral.
GACGAACGCUGGCGGCGUGCUUAACACAUGCAAGUCGAACGGACAGGCCCUGCUCUUGUGGGGUGCUCGAUUGGCGAACGGGUGAGUAACACGCGAGUAUCCUGCCCUUGACUUUGGGAUAACUUCAGGAAACUGGGGCUAAUAUCGGAUAGGAGCUCCUGCUGCAUGGUGGGGGUUGGAAAGUUUCGGCGGUUGGGGAUGGACUCGCUGCUUAUCGGCUUGUUUGCGGAGUAGUGGCUUACCAAGGCUUUGACGGGUAGCCGGCCUGGGAGGGGGACCGGCCUCAUUGGGACUAAGAUACGGCCCAGUCUCCUACGGGAGGCAACAGUGGGGAAUAUUGCGCAAUGGGCGGAAGCCUGAUGCAGCGACGCCGCGUGCGGGAUGACGGGCUUCGGGUUAUAAACCGCUUUCGCCUGUGACGAAGCGUGAGUGACGGUAAUGAGUAAAGAAGCACCGGCUAACUACGUG